This 253-nucleotide ribosomal RNA is filed under the name uncultured bacterium. RNAcentral's name for it is "partial 16S ribosomal RNA". It matches the Rfam family "Bacterial small subunit ribosomal RNA", at positions 524 to 776 of the family's 1533-position model. The record is from RNAcentral.
UACGGAGGGUGCGAGCGUUGUCCGGAAUCACUGGGCGUAAAGGGCGCGUAGGCGGCCUGAUAAGUAGGAGGUGAAAUCCUGCGGCUUAACCGCAGGGCUGCCUUCUAAACUGUCAGGCUAGAGCACAGUAGAGGCAGGUGGAAUUCCCGGUGUAGCGGUGGAAUGCGUAGAGAUCGGGAAGAACAUCAGUGGCGAAGGCGGCCUGCUGGGCUGUUGCUGACGCUGAGGCGCGACAGCGUGGGGAGCAAACAGG